Suricata suricatta (meerkat) is the source of this 390-nucleotide long non-coding RNA. RefSeq lists it as uncharacterized. NCBI's taxonomy places the organism in Eukaryota, Metazoa, Chordata, Mammalia, Carnivora, Herpestidae. The transcript is spliced from 2 exons. The record is from RefSeq and is a predicted model, not a curated record.
AGUAUUUUACCGAGUCGUUUAUAAUACGCGCAAAACAAAAGUAGACUGUAGAGAACACUGCAUUUUUUAAAUUGAGGGCACAGCUUGGGAGACCAAAGUGGGAGAGACAGCGCUGGAUGCGGAACGGUCCUCUUCCCUUGUCUUCACUGCCAAGGUCAGCCCAAGGAAAAAUAAAUGGAGGCAACCAGCUCAACCCCUUGAUGUUUCAACCAAGGCGGCCGUGGGAGCCCACAAUACUGGAAGCUGUAGAUCUGCAUGCAGCGGGGACUGCAGCUCCCUCAAAAUACAAGAGCAUGUGUGUGUGUGCUCUCCGCCACCUUAUCUCUUUUUGGCAAUAAGCCAUGGUGUAACCCCCUUGAGAUGACAAAAGAAAUAAAAGCUCAGAUGUGA